UACGGAGGGGGUUAGCGUUGUUCGGAAUUACUGGGCGUAAAGCGCACGUAGGCGGAUCAGAAAGUUGGGGGUGAAAUCCCGGGGCUCAACCCCGGAACUGCCUCCAAAACUUCUGGUCUGGAGUUCGAGAGAGGUGAGUGGAAUUGCGAGUGUAGAGGUGAAAUUCGUAGAUAUUCGCAGGAACACCAGUGGCGAAGGCGGCUCACUGGCUCGAUACUGACGCUGAGGUGCGAAAGUGUGGGGAGCAAAC
This 250-nucleotide ribosomal RNA is filed under the name uncultured bacterium. RNAcentral's name for it is "partial 16S ribosomal RNA". It matches the Rfam family "Bacterial small subunit ribosomal RNA", at positions 524 to 773 of the family's 1533-position model. The record is from RNAcentral.